Molecule: ribosomal RNA, 1373 nt
Filed under: uncultured bacterium
Lineage: Bacteria
Description: bacterial SSU rRNA
Rfam family: Bacterial small subunit ribosomal RNA
Source: RNAcentral
GAUUGAACGCUGGCGGUAUGCUUAACACAUGCAAGUCGAACGGAAACGAUACUAGCUUGCUAGUAGGCGUCGAGUGGCGGACGGGUGAGUAACGCGUAGGAAUCUGCCUGAUAGUGGGGGAUAGCCCGAAGAAAUUCGGAUUAAUACCGCAUAAUCUAUUCGUAGUAAAGUGGGGGACUUUCGAGCCUCACGCUAUCAGAUGAGCCUGCGUAAGAUUAGCUUGUUGGUAGGGUAAAAGCCUACCAAGGCGACGAUCUUUAGCUGGUCUGAGAGGAUGAUCAGCCACAUCGGGACUGAGACACGGCCCGAACUCCUACGGGAGGCAGCAGUGGGGAAUAUUGGACAAUGGGGGCAACCCUGAUCCAGCAAUACCGCGUGUGUGAAGAAGGCCUGAGGGUUGUAAAGCACUUUCAAUUGUGAAGAAAAGUUAGCGGUUAAUAACCGUUAGCCUUGACGUUAACUUUAGAAGAAGCACCGGCUAACUCCGUGCCAGCAGCCGCGGUAAUACGGAGGGUGCAAGCGUUAAUCGGAAUUACUGGGCGUAAAGCGCGCGUAGGCGGUUUAUUAAGUCAGAUGUGAAAGCCCCGGGCUUAACCUGGGAACUGCAUUUGAAACUGGUCAACUAGAGUAUGGUAGAGGAAAGUGGAAUUUCUGGUGUAGCGGUGAAAUGCGUAGAUAUCAGAAGGAACAUCAAUGGCGAAGGCAGCUUUCUGGACCAAUACUGACGCUGAGGUACGAAAGCGUGGGUAGCAAACAGGAUUAGAUACCCUGGUAGUCCACGCCGUAAACGAUGAUAACUAGCCGUUGGGGGGAUUUACCCUUUAGUGGCGAAGCUAACGCGUUAAGUUAUCCGCCUGGGGAGUACGGCCGCAAGGUUAAAACUCAAAGGAAUUGACGGGGACCCGCACAAGCGGUGGAGCAUGUGGUUUAAUUCGAUGCAACGCGAAGAACCUUACCUGGUCUUGACAUCCUGCGAACUUUCUAGAAAUAGAUUGGUGCCUUCGGGAACGCAGUGACAGGUGCUGCAUGGCUGUCGUCAGCUCGUGUCGUGAGAUGUUGGGUUAAGUCCCGUAACGAGCGCAACCCCUAUCCUUAUUUGCCAGCACAUCAUGGUGGGAACUAUAAGGAGACUGCCGGUGAUAAACCGGAGGAAGGCGGGGACGACGUCAAGUCAUCAUGGCCCUUACGACCAGGGCUACACACGUGCUACAAUGGGAAGGACAAAGAGCCGCGAAGCCGCGAGGUGUAGCUAAUCUCAUAAACCUUUUCGUAGUCCGGAUUGGAGUCUGCAACUCGACUCCAUGAAGUCGGAAUCGCUAGUAAUCGUAGAUCAGAAUGCUACGGUGAAUACGUUCCCGGGUCUUGUACACACC